GACUCUCGGCAACAGAUAUCUCGGCUCUCAUAUCGAUGAAGAACGUAGCAAAAUGCGAUACUUGGUGUGAAUUGAAGAAUGCCGUGAACUAUAGUGUAUUUGAACACAAGUUACGCCCAAAGCCAUUAGGCCGAGGGCACGUCUACCUGGGCGUGA
Ribosomal RNA from Capsicum annuum, 156 nucleotides. RefSeq annotates it as 5.8S ribosomal RNA. The transcript has a single exon. Lineage: Eukaryota; Viridiplantae; Streptophyta; Magnoliopsida; Solanales; Solanaceae. The record is from RefSeq and is a predicted model, not a curated record.